GAUUAUGACUAUUCCAUCUUGAACUCAACCUGAUCUUCUUUGCUGGAUCUCCUCAAAGCUGGGUCAGCCUCCUUUGUACUGUGAUGGGAGACCAUCUGGGAAUCUGGGUGCUGUAGGCC
This 119-nucleotide ribosomal RNA is filed under the name Procavia capensis (Cape rock hyrax). The record is from RNAcentral. Lineage: Eukaryota; Metazoa; Chordata; Mammalia; Hyracoidea; Procaviidae.